GGCAUUUAAAAACAAACAAACAAACAAAACAAAGAAAAGAAACAAAACUAAAACAAAAAAAAACCCAAGCCAACCAACCAAAAACAAAACAAAAAACCCCAAGCCAACCAACUAAAAAAAAACCAAAAAAAAACCCCCAAAACCCCCCAAAAAAUUGGCAAUGGAAGACUGGAAGACUGUAUCCUAUUCCAGUACCUUCAGAUUUUUUAAAGAAAAUUGUUACUUCGUUAGACUUCAAUAAACAAGUUUUGCAAUAAAACGUUAGAAAUACUGUAAUACACUCAUUGUGUGGUAUCGCACUGGACCCCACAAAAAAAGGGAAAUGUCAUCUGUGAUAACAGCAAAAUUGAGUAACUACACCCGUUACACACAGAGUUAUCACUGGAGAAGUGACACUGUCAGGGUCUGGCUGAACAGCCUAACGCUUUGCAAAUACCAAAACACGUCUGAAACACUCAGAUAAGUAGAAGUGAUGAGAAGUGACACGAGACCUUUUCAGAGGACAGAGAGAACACAACUGGAAAAUCUAUCUCUAGCAUGUGCGAGAGUAAGUUCCUAUAGUGCUGAGGAAAACGCAGUUCGAUAGGUGAGAAAGAAAAGGCACUGAAAAGAUACUUAAGCAGCAGGCUGAUUGUAGUUGAAACCUGCAUCUGAAUCCUGUAACUUUAUUAGGAGAUUCUAUUGACCGAGGGUUGUGGAGGAUCUCUUAGCUUUUAAUAUAUUAUUUUUUCAUCUCCUUCCGGCUACUGCCCCUUGUAACUCGUCUCCUUUAUUUCCAGCUCCCUUCAGCAGCCGCACGUUGCUCCUGCCCGGGGCACGCAGGAACCCCGGCACACAGGUGGGAUCCCGGGCCCGCGGUGUCCCCGUCCCCGUCCCGCCCCGGCGCCGCCUCCCGCCCGCGGGAAGAGCCGGUGAGGCGGCGGCGGCGAGAGGAGCGGGGGCAGCCGGAGCCGCGGAGCUGGGGCUGCGCUCCGCGUCCCGCCGAGCACACGCACCCCCGAAGCCCCGCGCCGGGCAGCCGUGGGGCAACCGUGGGGCAGCCGUGGGGCAGCCAGCUCCAGACCCCCGGGCCCGCUGCCCCGGCCCCGCCCGCCCCGCCCGGGUGGAGCCCUGCCCCGCCCCGCCGCGGCAGGAGGAUGAGGCGGCGGCGGCCCCGGCCGAGGCGGCUGCCCCAUGGCGGAGGAUGUUGACCUGAAAGUAUGUCAGGGAGCUUUGGAUGACUGCUGUCCACCUCCGGGACAGGAUCAACUGGAACUGCAAGAAGAAGAGAAAGACAUAUAUCAAGUAAGUGAUGAAACAAAAGGGAAGAAGGGAAAACUGAAGAGGAAGUGAGGCAGGAUACAGAACUUAUCACUAAGAUAAAUAGUAUUAAAGGGUUUUGAAAGGAAUAAUUUAUUUCCUCUUGUUAUUUGAAGUGUCCCUUGCCAGGGCAGGAAAAAAAUUGUCCCUUCAGACAAUGCUUUGUGAAUGAUGUGCUUGUAUACCUUUUUGAAAAUUGCCUCCUUUCUUCAACCCCCCACUAUUUUUUUUGAGUAGUUGAAAUAUUCAGAGGUUUACAGAAAACACUUGCAACUAGUUAUUUUUUAAUCUGGGUUUAUUUUCUCUGUUGUGAAGGUGUGCUUUUGGGCAAGGAUGGUUUUGCCUACAAACACUAGAGACAUGGAUGCUAAAUUAUACUGCUCUCACCAUUUAUGUAAAGCUUAAUGCUCAGAUGUAGAAUUACAUUUGGGACACUGAACUCUUCUGUUCUCUCUAAGAGCUACAACGAAAAGGGCACUCAAUUUUUUUGAGACCUUGUGAGAGCUGAGAACAUCUGAUCCAGGUGUCUUGCCAGCCUCCUCUGUCUGCCACUCCCCUGAGAGCUUGGCUUUGAAAAAAUACUUAAUCUUUCCACACUGGUGGGGAGGUACAGCUUCAAAGGAAAGCCCAUUUCUGAUGUUGUGGGCAGGGUAGGGAUGCUCAGGCCAUGGAGCUGUUCUGCUCAUUCUAGCAACAUGUCAUCUCCCAUCAGGAUGAAGACUUGAUGGUGGAGUCAGCAGCAGUAUUGCACUGUGCUCUGUUUCCUCUCUGACUUUGAUUUUUACCUCCUUAGGUAAAAUAACUGUGCUUUACACCAUAUUUCUCUUUUUGUCACAGAGCAACAGCAACCAUGGAGAUUCCCUUCUCUCCUUAGAAAGCUGUUUACAGCUUC
Molecule: long non-coding RNA, 2191 nt
Organism: Taeniopygia guttata (zebra finch)
Lineage: Eukaryota; Metazoa; Chordata; Aves; Passeriformes; Estrildidae
Source: Ensembl